This 550-nucleotide ribosomal RNA is filed under the name uncultured bacterium. RNAcentral's name for it is "partial 16S ribosomal RNA". It matches the Rfam family "Bacterial small subunit ribosomal RNA", at positions 355 to 896 of the family's 1533-position model. The record is from RNAcentral.
UGGGGAAUCUUCCGCAAUGGACGAAAGUCUGACGGAGCAACGCUGCGUGAGUGAAGAAGGUUUUCGGAUCGUAAAACUCUGUCUUUUGGGGCGAACGUGAGUAUGGUGAACAAUCAUAGUCAGUGACGGUACCAAAGGAGGAAGCCACGGCUAACUACGUGCCAGCAGCCGCGGUAAUACGUAGGUGGCAAGCGUUGUCCGGAAUUAUUGGGCGUAAAGAGCGCGUAGGCGGGAUAGUCAGUCUGUUGUAAAGUGCGGGGCUCAACCCCGUGAUCGCAAUGGAAACAGCUAUUCUUGGGUGCAGGAGAGGAAAGUGGAAUUCCCAGUGUAGCGGUGAAAUGCGUAGAUAUUGGGAGGAACACCAGUGGCGAAGGCGACUUUCUGGACUGUGUCUGACGCUGAGGCGCGAAAGCCAGGGGAGCGAACGGGAUUAGAUACCCCGGUAGUCCUGGCCGUAAACGAUGGGUACUAGGUGUGGGAGGUAUCGACCCCUUCCGUGCCGGAGUUAACGCAAUAAGUACCCCGCCUGGGGAGUACGGUCGCAAGACCG